GAGGAAAUGCCAGGCGGGCGUUUCCCCACACCUGACCCUCAUGAAGACUGAAAUGACAAACAAAGCCCUACCACUGCGACCUCCUUCCCAGUGCUUCGUUGCUGUUGAGCCCACUCUAUAAUCUGUCAUGGCCAAGACGGAGGCUACAAAAAAGUACAAACGUGAGUCUCUGGCAGCUGACAUGAUCCGUCCAUCCUCCUCACAGAACAACUCCACGGGGAGACCGAACAAAGGAUGGAAGAGUGGGAGGAUAAACGGCAGAACAGGAAGUGCCGUGAAAAAGGGGACGAAGUGACACAGAAAAGAUGGAAGAGAAGAGCGAGAGACAGAGAAAGAAAAGUGUUUCUAAUCCUCCAGCCGGCUGAAUUUUCCCUGCAAAGUCUUCUAUUCACAUGAGACCAGCUUUAUGGUGUUAUGUAAAGACCUCAUGGAGUUAAGAGCCAUUUCUUCCAACCUCUGCCCUCUACCGAAGAUAUCAAGCUUGCAACUAUUUGAACACACCCCAGAGGCCACUCAGUAAGGAGAUUAUGUGUAUACACUGAUACAGAGAGCAUCAGACAGGCUUGAACUGGAACGACAGCUAAAAUGUGCAACUUAUUCUAGAAUAAGCAGAAUAAAUCUGGUAACUGUGGGUAAUGUAACAUCAGCCCUAGUUAAAGAACCUAUUAAACUGCAUGUAAAUUCAAACUUUCAUACCUAGAGUGUAAUUGGAGAAACACAUAAACUUGAACAAACAUUUAUUUCUGCACAUUUUCACUGACUGACACCGGCACUUUUUGAAGUGAUGCUUAACUAUACGAAAAUAAAAUAAAUAAAUAAAA
Oreochromis aureus is the source of this 821-nucleotide long non-coding RNA. RefSeq lists it as uncharacterized. Lineage: Eukaryota; Metazoa; Chordata; Actinopteri; Cichliformes; Cichlidae. The record is from RefSeq and is a predicted model, not a curated record. The transcript is spliced from 3 exons.